GCGAACAAAGCACAUGUUAAGUCCGAACAGCCUAGCCAACGGUUCAAAUAGGCUGGUAUAAAGCAAAACGUGUUUGAAAAGAUGGCAUAAAGGGAAACCGCAGCUGAGCAUCCAUGGUAAGAGAACAAAUCCAAUUUUAAGCUUUAUUAACACAAUAAAAAAUGAUUUCAACCAAAAACAAACAUCCACACAAACAAAACAAAAUUUCAUCUUUCAAAUAAAUUAAAUCUAGUUUAAAAUUUGGCUUCCAAUCUAAGCAGCAAACAUGAAGAUAAUGAGAAGAUACAUGUCUUUUCAGAUACCGAUGAAGACAGAGACAGUGGUUCGCGGUGGAAGUUGAAACGACGGUGAUGCUUUCUGUUUCUUCUUCUUCUCUUUCUUUUUAUGUGUUUUUCAUCAAUAUUAAUCUCAGAUCCCUCCUUCUUUUUCUUUUUGAAAUUUGAUAGGGCGUAUUUAUAAAGUUUUUUUAUUUGUUUAGUUGUUUUCUUGCUUGCCUUGGUCCUUCUCCAUCAAUGUCCUGUUUGAUGUUUCGUUUUCUUUGCUGCAUUUUUCUGCACCUUUGAUGUCUUCAUAAUUUUAGAUUAUUUGUUCUGUUCAUUGCUGAGCUUUUAUUUGUCUUUUAGUUUCUUUUUUUUUAAAACUCAAAAAUUUGUCUCUUUGUUCUUAUCAUGUGUGCAAAGGCUAACUAAUAAAAAAAAUGUUUUUUUGUUUCUCCAAUUAGUUACAAAGCAAAGGCUGGUGCUUCAACCAUGACACUGUAUCAGGACCAGAAAGGCAGUGGUAAGGAUAGCAACAAAACAGAGCCAAAAUAGGUUGGCUUAAUUUGGUUUAAAUUUGAUAAUUGUAAAUUAAAAUUGUAAUUUGAGAUAUAAUGAAAUUAUUUAUUGUAAUUAUUUUUAUUUCCUUUUUUAAAUACAUAUUUUCUUUUUUUGAAUUAUUUUCUUUUUUGAUUUAUUUUUAACAAAAAUGGACAAAAUUAGGGUACUACACUAUUCACUUUUUGUAAAUAUUUAUGAUUUUUUUCCUCAUUUUUUCUUAAAUUUGUAUGCUUCAUCUUGACUUUUCUAUAUUUUUUUCUUCUUUUGUUUUUCUCAUUUUAUUCACGUUUUGUAAAUAUUUGUUUGUUUUUUUUACCAUUUUUUCCUCCUUUGUGCUCUUGUUUUUAUGUUUCACGUUAACUUUCUUAUACUUUUUUUUUUCAUUUUUGCAAUUGAAUGACAUUUCAUAAAUAUUUUUGUUUUUUCACUAUUAAAUUAUAGCAUAUUCACUCCAUAUAGAUCUUUGUAAACUCAAUUAGCUAAAUAUAUUGUUUAGACAAAGUUAACACUCAAACCUUACAGCUUUGAGUUCAUUCUAUAGAUAUUCACACUAAAUUUUGUUUUGUUUUUUUUUUUUAUAGUUUUUUUUACUAUUUUUCCAUUUACUUUUACUUUUUUUUUCAUAUCUUUGUUUCACACAUCUUUGUUGUAUGGGUUUAUGAUUAAUGUAUUGUUUUUUUAAUGGUCCUAACCUUUAUAUUUGUACUUAAUAUUUACUUUACAAUCUUGAUUUUUAUCGAUUUUUUUAUUAGAAAGUAUUAAUUUGCUUUUUCUUUCCUAUCAUUUUUUUCUUGCAAUAUGCUAUUAUGUAUUCUUUUUUAAUCUUCUGUGAAAGGCAUUGGCUCCAGAGAAAGGUGUUCAUGUAUUUUUAUUUUAUUUUGGGUCAUUACACAUUCUUUUCUUUCAGUUUGUUAGUUUUUAAAUUUCACAAUAUAGAUAUUUUAUUGUUGAUGAGUUUUCUAAAUUAUGAAAUUGCAGAAGUAGCAUCUUACUUAUGUCAAGACAAACAAUUUGGUUCAUGUAAUUAAGCUCCAACCAUAAUUUAAAACGAUAAAUAUUUGAUUACUCUAGAUAAAUAUUUGUCAGUAAUAAUAAAAAAUUACAGGAUAAAUAUUUAUCAUUGAUACUUAAAAAAAUGAGACAAAAUAUUACUAUUGAU
This 1977-nucleotide long non-coding RNA is filed under the name Cicer arietinum (chickpea). Its description in RNAcentral is "long non-coding RNA (CARI_LNC002270)". Lineage: Eukaryota; Viridiplantae; Streptophyta; Magnoliopsida; Fabales; Fabaceae. The record is from RNAcentral.